Molecule: long non-coding RNA, 1341 nt
Organism: Mustela erminea (ermine)
Lineage: Eukaryota; Metazoa; Chordata; Mammalia; Carnivora; Mustelidae
Exons: 4
Source: RefSeq, a predicted model, not a curated record
CUACGGAGCCACGCACUUGGUGGUAAAGUCAAUGGAUUUUAUGCAGUUUGAUCCAAGGCCAGGAAACUUCAAGAAGAACUGAUAACAUCUCUCUCAUAUUUUCAAAGGGGCAUCAUACCUUACCACUGUGGUGUACUGAAAAGUAUUUGAAAGAGGCCAUUACUUAAGAAGAUCCCCAUUUCGGAGACAUUAAAAUGUGAAAAUGUGUCUUAGAAUCAAAAUAUGUGAUUUUGCUUCAUGUGCUCAUAUGGAAAUUACCAGCAAAAUGCCUCUCCUAUGUAGAACCAGGAGGCACCUACACCAGCGCACCAAGCUAGCUUGCCUAUGGCUUUCAAUGUUGAAAUGAUUCAGCUUUAACUCACGGAGCUUGUAAUCUAUUAGAAUAUAUGAAGGCAAAAAUGCAAUAAAAACCAAAGACUAUAAUACAAAGCAGAAUGUGAUAUAUAUACCACAAUUGAGGAAAAAAUUAAGAAUGAUAUAGGACGACACAGAACGGAGGAUUGAUUCUGAUUGGAGCAGGGGACAUUUUAACUGUCAAUUCAGAAGGCAGAGACUGGGGAAGAAACACCUGGAUGAAGAACAUUUCUGUAUGUCCAGGGAUCUGCUGCAAGUGGGAAGCAGGACAUGUACCUGGAGUGUGCCUGCCUCGGUGACAAGUUCUCCACAUCCUAAUGACAAGAUGCUUUUGUGACCCAGAUUCCACAUGUCCCGUCCACUGAGGCAGCUCCACUCUGCAGAAGUAACAUUUACUUUUCUUCGUUGCCUUAGGGCAUUAAUACAUUGGUUUGGGCUCCUCCUGUUUUCCCGAGUUUUAAAAAUUUCACAAUCACACACAUGUAGAAUAGGCUCCUUAAUAGUCACGUUUCCUCCUCUGUAAUAUGAGGAGAAAGUCCCUACUUAAUAGGAUUCUUUGAAUAAUAUGUUGGUAAAAACCCUGGAACUAAGCACUUAGUGCACGUUAGGGUUAGAGCGGCACCCCAAAGUGACCAUGGAAGGACUGGUGUGUCAGAAAUGUCCUGAGUCUGCCAGCUCACUCAUUUUUACUAUCUUAGAGAAUCCUUAUGAGAACCUGCAUAAAAAAGGAAACAGCAGUCAUAAAAGAAACAAAGAGACACUCUAUCAAUAGCUCAGAAAGCUUCCCCACAAGCCCCAAUAUACCCGAGAGCGUUGGUAUCCAGACUGCACAAUGCAGUCACGCCCAGACGUCUAUGUAAGGCCAUUCCAUCAGGAACCCCUCCAAAUCAGAAAAAGUCCAGGCAUCACCUCCAUUUUAAAGAAUUAGGUUGCCAUGUCAUCUUAAUAAAGUAUCCCACUUUAACCAAGGAACAUUCAUAUUUUGUU